Molecule: unclassified non-coding RNA, 261 nt
Filed under: uncultured fungus
Lineage: Eukaryota; Fungi
Description: partial contains small subunit ribosomal RNA, internal transcribed spacer 1, and 5.8S ribosomal RNA
Rfam family: Eukaryotic small subunit ribosomal RNA (bases 1-73)
Source: RNAcentral
UCAAACUUGGUCAUUUAGAGGAAGUAAAAGUCGUAACAAGGUCUCCGUUGGUGAACCAGCGGAGGGAUCAUUGCCGAGCCUAGGCUCCAAGCCGCGCGGACCAUACCUCAUCACUGCCUCGGCGGGGGGCCCCAGGGGGGGCCGCGGGGGACCCGCCGGGGGAUUCCAGACCUUACCGUACCGCCCCUUAGUCGCGACGCGAGAAGAAUCACAACUUUCAACAAUGGAUCUCUUGGCUCUGGCAUCGAUGAAGAACGCAGC